RNAcentral lists this ribosomal RNA (470 nucleotides) under uncultured bacterium. Its description in RNAcentral is "partial 16S ribosomal RNA". It matches the Rfam family "Bacterial small subunit ribosomal RNA", at positions 28 to 507 of the family's 1533-position model. The record is from RNAcentral.
GACGAACGCUGGCGGCGUGCUUAACACAUGCAAGUCGAACGGUGAACGAGGGAGCUUGCUCCCUCCGGAUCAGUGGCGAACGGGUGAGUAACACGUGAGCAAUCUGCCCCGAACUCUGGGAUAAGCGUUGGAAACGACGUCUAAUACCGGAUACGACGCGGGAGGGCAUCCUCUCCGCGUGGAAAGAACUUCGGUUCGGGAUGAGCUCGCGGCCUAUCAGCUUGUUGGUGAGGUAACGGCACACCAAGGCGACGACGGGUAGCCGGCCUGAGAGGGUGACCGGCCACACUGGGACUGAGACACGGCCCAGACUCCUACGGGAGGCAGCAGUGGGGAAUAUUGCACAAUGGGCGCAAGCCUGAUGCAGCAACGCCGCGUGAGGGACGACGGCCUUCGGGUUGUAAACCUCUUUUAGCAGGGAAGAAGCGAAAGUGACGGUACCUGCAGAAAAAGCACCGGCUAACUACGUG